Molecule: long non-coding RNA, 2663 nt
Organism: Magnolia sinica
Lineage: Eukaryota; Viridiplantae; Streptophyta; Magnoliopsida; Magnoliales; Magnoliaceae
Exons: 5
Source: RefSeq, a predicted model, not a curated record
AAUUUUAUUUUCACCCGAUAAUCUUUUGGCUUCAUCUACAAUUUCUGUCUUUUUUUAGGUUCUUGUCAUACUGAACUAAUUUAUUUUGAUAUUCUUGCCUACAUUUAGGUUUAAUAAUGUUGAAGAACAACCCAACAUACCUUGUCCAAAGAGGCAUAUUCCAAUUACUAAAAUAGAGCAAAGUAAAGAGGUGCAAUGAUUAGGAAGCUUAUGUGGUCCUCGAUGCCUGCCAUGUGCUCUUACGUUACUCAUUUGCACAAAGAAUGGACUGCUCUAACCACCCAUUUAUGGCAAGUUUCGCCUGUUGAAUGUGGAUGGAUGUUUGUAUUUUGAGUUAACUGUACCUUUUCAGGCCACUGACCGGAUGGCCACCCAUUCGGAUUGCCUUGCACGUUGGUUAUGGGCAGUCCACCUGGUGACCACAAAGCAAUUGUCCUGAUCAUUGUACACAUGUACCACACAUACAAGAAAGGCUUUUCACUUUGCAUCUGAUGAAACUCAAUGGUGUCUAUCUUUGUUGCAUUCUACCUUUGUCUAAUUUUAUUUUUGUUGAUGUUUUUAUUGUGGGUUUUGCCUCUUGUUGGGCUGGUAAUGAUGAGAUGGGCUUAUGGUUUUACGUUGUGGAAACCAUUGUUGCUAAGUUACGGUCCAAAAAUCAGAUUAGUUGAGCAGUCCUAGCCCCUGUUUCGUUGAUGCUUGUUUGUUAAAACCAUUGGAAUUCAUGGUUCUUUAAGUUUCCUACAUUGUCUAAAUAUUACUUUAGCAUUAAAAUGUUAUUUUUCUCUGUAGGAAUUUAUCUUACCUUUAGCAUUAUGUUAUUUCUCUAACUGUUGGAUUUGUUCUGAAAAUUUCCUGCGGGGAAUUGUUUUCACAGUUAGAAUUGUCUAAUCAACACUAUUCAUUUUCUUGAAAAUUUUCUCAAUAGGUCCUACUGACUCUACCUGUAAUCUGACAUAAGCUAUUAUGUAAAAACUUAUGAAUUAGAUCAUAUCAGUAGUUAUCGUAUCAAUCCUUUGAGAUUCCAUUAGCAUGAAUGAUUUUGCAUUGUGCAGCUUGCUUCUUUCUGCAUACUGAGCAAAAAUUCAUUGUAUGAAGAGAUAGGGCCUUCUAAUUCUAACUGGUUGUGAUGCUUGUGUAUAGGUCCGCACCGUGAGAGCAGAGAAGCGCCUGAAUGAGAUAGUGAAUAGGUUGAACAAGACAAAAAGUCAAAAGGAAGCCUGACUUGAAAGGUAUGAUGGUCUAUCCUAGAUUUCAUGUCCGAAGAUCAUAUAAAGAUUGUCUCUUGAUUCUUGAUCUUCCAGUUGAUGAUGCUUGCAUUUAUGAGUCCAUCCUGAAAAUUUUAGUUUGUUAUGUUUUGAAGGGUGAAAACCUUUUUGUUGGCUUUCUUUCAUGGUCAUGUUAGGAAGGCUGUAAAUUGCUAAACAGACUUGUUUAUUUCUGAAAUAUUUCAUGUGGUAUUUCCUUCGACCAUUCCAUUUCUGAAGUUCACUGGGACUGAAUAGACCUCUUCUAAGUUCUCAACCUAUGGCUUCUACAAGCUUCCUGGAAUAUGUCCUGUACUCUAUAUGGGGUUAUAAGCCACUCAUGUCAUGUGCUGUUUAUGGAGCUGAGCGGGAAGCAGUGAAUGUAAAUCCCUCUCCAUCUCUGCUUAUUUGCUGUUUUCCUUUUGCAUCUUUGAGUUUUCUAUUGAAAUUCUAGAUUUCCUGCAGUACAUGGAUAUCGAUGAGGAAUUCCUACAAAGGGUUACGAAGAAUACCUGUCAAUAUCUGGGUAUUUUCUUUCUACAUGCAGUUCUUGUCAAUUUUGGUUUCAAAGAAAGUUUCAUGCCCUUGGAAACUUGUUGAUUGUAAAUAACACCUUCGGAAAUGUGAUUUCAGUGAAGAUCUUAUCGAAAAGUUCUAAAUCUGAGGAACCUUGUAUUGCUUCAGCUGAGGUUUUGGCAAGAUCAGUGGCAUGGCUUGGAAGAGGUCUUUCUUGUGUUUGUGCUCAAAGAGGAGAGAAUGAUGCCCAUUCAUAGUUUGAACUAACCCCUUUGCAGAGGCCACAGUUGGUGAAGGGGAAUAUGCAGCUUUUUUCUAUGGAUCAACAAUGUAGUUAAGCUCUUGAAGCACAUGCUGCAUCAUUUGCUUCACUAAAGGUUGUUGGAAAUGAAAACCCUUCCAUUCUUAUUGCCUUUGCCUCAAGGACCACCAAUGCAGGACAAAUUACAUCAAAGUUACAUGUGAUUGAACUUGGUGCUCAGCCAGGUACUCAUGUGUACCCAUAACAUUUGGACCAUGUUCAGUAGCAUCAAUACUAAACCACCUACUUGAAAUAGCUAGUAAUUGACCAAUGUUUGAUUAUUAUUUUUUAAAUCUUUAGUAGACUCUUGUACUUCAACUGUUGGUGAAUUUGGAGAUCAUCUCUUAUAUGAGAAGCAAUAAAAGAUAAAUGUGAUUUUAAUGGCUGCUUUUUAAGACCAUUUGUGCAAGUGUAAAAGGGGAACCGACUUUUUUUUUUCCAUAUGGGAUGUCACCAUAAUUGACCAUUUGUUUUAAAAUGGAUCAAUGGUUUAAUUGACUUGUAGCACCCAUAGUCAAUUGUAUUGCUGAAAAUGACUAUCAGUUCGGCAGUGCAGCCCACAUAUACUUGUUUUUUCUUGAAAAAAAAAAGAAAAGAAAGAG